RNAcentral lists this long non-coding RNA (1436 nucleotides) under Homo sapiens (human). Its description in RNAcentral is "HSALNT0110921". Lineage: Eukaryota; Metazoa; Chordata; Mammalia; Primates; Hominidae. The record is from RNAcentral.
CCAUCACAGCUGAGGCCUCAGCUGAGAAGACUCAAGGCUGAGGUUGACUCAACAGCUGGGUCUAGAAUCAUCUGAGACCUUGUUCACGUACAUACGGCACCUGGGCAAGAAGGACUUGAAGAGGAGGACUGCCACCUGGAACAUUUUCACGUGGUCUCUCCACGUGGCUUGGCUCCCUCCCAGCAAGGCAACCUCAGGAGAGUAAGACCUAUCUGCCAGGGCUCAGGGCUCCUACCACGACUAUUCCUGGGAAGAAGACAGAACUUCACUGUCAUUCAUGAGCAAGCCAUGGAAGUCACAUACAGCUCUUCCAAUGCAUUUCAUGAGAUGCAUGGGAGACACAAGCUGCCUGGAUUUAAAAAGGAGGGCUGUAGACCUCACUUCUCACUAGGAAGAAUGCUGAAGAAUUGGAAGAUGUGUCUUCAAAUCACCACAUAAAAGAAUUGAGAAGUUGGCUGUAGCUACUACUUCUAGAAACUUGACCUAGUGGCCUGGCGUUUUGGGAACUUUGCUAGCUUAUUCAGCACAGGUAACUCAGGGUAAAAAUAACCUGAAGAAGAAAUGUAAUAAUCACUCACUUAUCUUCACCCCAAUUCAGCCAGGGCUAGAUAAUUUUUAGUUUUGAGCCUUUUUUAAAAAAAAAAAUAAAAAGAAACCUGGUAAUAACACAUCUUUGUCUUUUUCUCUUCUUUAAUAGGCUAGAGUUGAUAUUUAAGACUUUAGAAAGGUGCUUCUGGGAAUUUCAACAUUUGGCAGCUGGUAAUAAGUAGGAAAUGUCAUUACAUAAACGCCAGUUUGAGUUUAGAGGCAGGUGGUAUUUUGGAGAAGUCAGUAUCAAUGUGAGGCUGUAGCCACACUGACCGCCUCCAGCCCAUCUGCAGAGACAUUUCUGUCUCUGGCAAGUAAAGCCCCCUCCCUCUGUCUGCUUUGACUGCCUCUCUGAGUUCCCCUUUUUUCUGACCUUGAGUUUCAACUUGAUGAGUCAUCAAAAGGACUGGGCCACUGGAUUCUACCUGGCAAGAACUUCAGUGGCUGUGCCUGUGGUCUGCAGUUUGGGUCUGGAAUCAAGUCUCCUAUUGUUGCAGGCCUUUGACGCUCAUCCUGACUCCUGACUGAUGAAUUAUUUGGUCGACUGAGGCAGAAUCACCUUUACUGGAGCAUAAUCUGUUGGAGGCAGCAUCUCCUGAAGUCUCCAUGAGUUGCUGGAAUGAAGAUGCAAGAGGAAAUUUGGAGAUGUUGCUUGAAAGUUUAAAGUAUUGGUGUUACCGAACCAUUAGAAUAUUACAUAUGGACAACGCCCAUCCAUUAGAAUAUUACGUAUGGACAACAUGGUGGAACAUUUCGAAUAAGGCUGUAUGAGAAGCACGGCACCAGCAUCUUUUUCUGGUGAGGACUUCAGGCUGCUUCCACUCAUGGUUGAAGAUGAAGGAGAGCCA